ACUGGGACUAAGGACUGGAACCAGGGCUGGGGCCAGGGCUGGGAUUAGGACUAGGGCUGGGAGUAGGGCCGGUACUGGGACUGGAGCUGCUGCUGCCCAGGCCUCCCCCAGGGCUGAGCCAAGGCGGGAAGGGGUCGGGAGGAUUCUGAUGGGAAAGGAGCCGAUUGGAAACAGUGGGAUAAACCGGAGGAAUUUACGUCAGUCAGAAAGAGGGAAUUUUGUAAUGGGAAAUGAGACUGUCCAUGUGAAAGGAAGGAAUCAGAUGGUAAAUACAGUGUGGGAGCACCAGCAUGGAAGAAAUUGGUUUGUAACACAUCAUAAACUGAUCAGGAGUCCAAAAUAUGAUGUUCUGGGGAAAAAAAGGUAUCUCUAAAGAGGAGGGCCCUGGCAAUGAAAAGGAAAAAAAUCCACAACCCCUCCUCCAAAGCUCCUGUAUGAUCAAAAGGGUAUGGAGAAUGCUGAAUGAACUAUUACCAUUACUACCUUAUGUGCAGAGGAUGCUACAUGCUGCCAACACGUCCUUACCUGGCUGUGCUGGGCAGACCCUGAGAGCAGCACCAGCUCAUAAGUGACCUGGAGCGUGGACUUGGAGUGAGUUUGAUUUGAGAACGAGGAUACAGCACCAGUGAUGGGGAGGUCAGAUACUCAUGAGAGAUUUGUAAUAAUGGCAUGCGUGUCUGUCCAGACUCAAGCUACCACAUGUCUAGAAGAACCUUUAGGCCUUCUUUAGGGAGGAAAGGGCCUGGCAUAAAAAUACUUUAGGUGUCUCAUCCAUUAAAGAUAACUUUCAGAACAUGGCCAGGCAAAAUACUUGCUCCUGAAUCUGCAUGUCAGCAGCUCUGGUGUCUGUGCUGUUGUGAGAGCUUCCUAGGAGAGAAUCAGAACUCAUAGGCAUGACUGAAUAAAAACCUAUGAUCCAAGAAAUCAUUUGGGAGCACUGCACCUGAAGGGUGUUGUUAUUUCCAUCACCUAUCCAGUAACAAGUCUUUAUGGAGUAGACGAGGUGUGGGCUUGCAUUGGAAACAGAGAAGGGAGAGACAAAAAAUUAAGAAAAAGCUAUGUGUCAGAAGCCUCAUCUGCUCACAGCAAUUAUGGGGCAAGAACCAGACCAAGCCAGACAGAGAAAGAGGAGAGCUCUUCUUCCAUUACGGCUUCAAGGAAGAGGAUUAAUAUUUGAUAAGAAAAAUCAAUUAGCUCACAAGUAACAUGGAGAUUCUGACCAUGAUCUAUGGAAACAAUCCUUGAAGACACCCUUUAAUGCAUAGCAUCCAUGAUGGUUUGGAGGUCCGGAGCUUGUCGGAAGCUGGUUAACUUGAGGUUUGCCUUAGGUUCUACCUUGUAAGAGUACCUAUGAGUUUAAUAUUGUCUCCUGGCUAUAAGGCCUCUUAUGUUUUGUCAAAUCCCAUUCAUCUUAAUUCUUAAUUUGAAUUUGUAGAUGCUCAUUCAUUCUGGUUUUUAUUUUAACUAUUACCUGGUUUCUUCACCUGUGCAUCCAUAAAUGUAUCAUCAUAACGUUUUGCCUGUAAAUCUAUUGCAAAACUGCAGUACUUCUGCUAUUUCUUAGAGCUAUCAGAAGUCCUGGUUUUAGUCCUCUCAUAAACCCUACAUAGAUAAUUGUAAUUUUAAUGUAAAUUUUACAGAAAGCUCACUGAAAGUAGUAUCAACUCCUCCUACUCUUGACCUUCUUGUGCCAGUUUUUUCUGAUUUAAUAGCUUCUAUCUGAAAAAAGGUAGUUUCUCUUGCUAUAUGCUCCCUCUUGUUUAUCUGAUUUUCUGUCACCAAGUUCUCAGUCUCAGGGACUCCUCAAGUAUUGUGAUCAGUCCUUUGAGUUUAACACAUAACUUAUUGAAGCAUGUGUCACUAUUUGCAUUCUGUUCCCAAGUGAUUGCCUUAUAUGAGAGAAAACAGCGAGACUGGGUUUGUUACAAGUUGUGUUAAAUCUUUUUGAAAAGAAAAGGUCUCUUCAGUCACUAACAGGGAGGUUACAGUUGUAGUAAGGACAGCGUUUUCAGGCAGGAGAGGGAUUUUAUUUUGUCAGCUGUUAUGCUUCAUUUUGCAAUCGUGUAUUUCCUCUGAAAAUAGAACGAGCAGGAGCAUUGUUAUGUAAUCAUUUAAUGUAUAUUGCAUAUGUAAUCAUUUAAUGUAUAUUACAUAAUGCAUUAUUAUGUAAUCAUUGUUUAAACCGAGCUGGAAAUUAAGCACCAUGCAACCACUCACUCAGUGUCCCCCUCCCUCC
Long non-coding RNA from Corapipo altera (White-ruffed manakin), 2236 nucleotides. RefSeq lists it as uncharacterized. The transcript has 4 exons. Lineage: Eukaryota; Metazoa; Chordata; Aves; Passeriformes; Pipridae. The record is from RefSeq and is a predicted model, not a curated record.